UGAGGAAUAUUGCGCAAUGGGGGCAACCCUGACGCAGCAACGCCGCGUGAGUGAGGAAGGUUUUCGGACCGUAAAGCUCUGUCGAGCGGGAAGAAAUGCAUGGUGGCUAAUAUCCAUCAUGCUUGACGGUACCGCUAAAGGAAGCACCGGCUAACUCCGUGCCAGCAGCCGCGGUAAUACGGGGGGUGCGAGCGUUGUUCGGAAUUAUUGGGCGUAAAGAGCGUGUAGGCGGCCGAAUAAGUCAGAUGUGAAAUCCCUGGGCUUAACCCAGGACGUGCAUUUGAAACUAUUCGGCUGGAGUAGGGGAGAGGAAAGUGGAAUUCCUGGUGUAGAGGUGAAAUUCGUAGAUAUCAGGAGGAACACCGGUGGCGAAAGCGACUUUCUGGCCCUAUACUGACGCUGAGACGCGAGAGCGUGGGUAGCGAACAG
This 429-nucleotide ribosomal RNA is filed under the name uncultured bacterium. RNAcentral's name for it is "bacterial SSU rRNA". It matches the Rfam family "Bacterial small subunit ribosomal RNA", at positions 355 to 775 of the family's 1533-position model. The record is from RNAcentral.